Molecule: non-coding RNA, 187 nt
Filed under: Desulfobacterales bacterium
Lineage: Bacteria; Pseudomonadati; Thermodesulfobacteriota; Desulfobacteria; Desulfobacterales
Source: RNAcentral
UUUUAAAAGAAUUCCAAAGGUACCAUUUCGGUUUAAUAGGGAAUCCCGUGAAAAUCGGGAGCGGUCCCGCCGCUGUAAUCGGUAACGAAAUCUGCAAAAUGCCACUGCCUGGUUUUAGCCUAGUGGGAAGGUGCGGACAGUAGGAUGACCCGAGAGCCAGAAGACCUGCCUUGACAUAUUGCCAUUU